AACGAACGCUGGCGGCAGGGCUUAACACAUGCAAGUCGAACGCACCUUCGGGUGAGUGGCAGACGGGUGAGUAACGCGUGGGAACCUUCCCUGUGGUACGGAAUAGCUCCGGGAAACUGGAAUUAAUACCGUAUACGCCCUUUUGGGGAAAGAUUUAUCGCCAUAGGAUGGGCCCGCGUCGGAUUAGCUUGUUGGUAGGGUAAUGGCCUACCAAGGCAACGAUCCGUAGCUGGUCUUAGAGGAUGAUCAGCCACACUGGGACUGAGACACGGCCCAGACUCCGUACGGGAGGCAGCAGGUGGGGAAUAUUGGACAAUGGGACGAAAGCCUGAUCCAGCCAUGCCGCGUGAGUGACGAAGGCCGUUAGGGUUAGUAAACUUCUUUUGGCGGGGACGAUAAUGACGGUACCCGCAGAAUAACGCCCCGGCUAACUUCGUG
Molecule: ribosomal RNA, 438 nt
Filed under: uncultured bacterium
Lineage: Bacteria
Description: bacterial SSU rRNA
Rfam family: Bacterial small subunit ribosomal RNA
Source: RNAcentral